AACGUAGGUUCCGAGCGUUAUCCGGAUUUACUGGGCGUAAAGCGCGUUCAGGCGGUUUGGCAAGUCGGGCAUGAAAUCUCUCGGCUCAACCGAGAGAGGUUGUCCGAUACUUCCAGACUUGAGGGCAGUAGAGGGUGGUGGAAUUCCGGGUGUAGUGGUGAAAUGCGUAGAUAUCCGUAGGAACACCAGUGGCGAAAGCGGCCACCUGGACUGCACCUGACGCUGACACGCGAAAGCUAGGGGAGCGAACGGG
Molecule: ribosomal RNA, 253 nt
Filed under: uncultured bacterium
Lineage: Bacteria
Description: partial 16S ribosomal RNA
Rfam family: Bacterial small subunit ribosomal RNA
Source: RNAcentral